CACGUAGGGCGCAAGCGUUGUCCGGAAUUAUUGGGCGUAAAGAGCUCGUAGGCGGUCUGUUGCGUCCGCUGUGAAAACUCGGGGCUUAACCCCGAGCCUGCAGUGGAUACGGGCAGACUAGAGGUAGGUAGGGGAGAAUGGAAUUCCCGGUGUAGCGGUGAAAUGCGCAGAUAUCGGGAGGAACACCGGUGGCGAAGGCGGCUAUCUGGGCUGAAACUGACGCUGAGGCGCGAAGGCUAGGGGAGCAAACAGG
RNAcentral lists this ribosomal RNA (253 nucleotides) under uncultured bacterium. Its description in RNAcentral is "partial 16S ribosomal RNA". It matches the Rfam family "Bacterial small subunit ribosomal RNA", at positions 524 to 776 of the family's 1533-position model. The record is from RNAcentral.